CGGGUGAGUAACGCGUGAGGAACCUGCCUCAAAGAGGGGGACAACAGUUGGAAACGACUGCUAAUACCGCAUAAGCCCACGGCUCGGCAUCGAGCAGAGGGAAAAGGAGCAAUCCGCUUUGAGAUGGCCUCGCGUCCGAUUAGCUGGUUGGUGAGGUAACGGCCCACCAAGGCGACGAUCGGUGGCCGGACUGAGAGGUUGAACGGCCACAUUGGGACUGAGACACGGCCCAG
This 233-nucleotide ribosomal RNA is filed under the name uncultured bacterium. RNAcentral describes it as "partial 16S ribosomal RNA". It matches the Rfam family "Bacterial small subunit ribosomal RNA", at positions 103 to 334 of the family's 1533-position model. The record is from RNAcentral.